UCUUUACAGUGGUGACAGUAACGAGAAGUUGGGAUGUGUACAAUGUAAAUAUAGUAAUUUUACAGCUAUUUUAAAUUUUGUAAAUGACAGUAAACCUACAUCUGCCUUCUGAGUUUAUAUGGUGGUAAAGUAGUGGUGAAUCUGAAAUAAUCAGUUUUUAUUGGGUACUGUUUUGCCUCACAGCGCCCCGCAUGUAUCCCUUCACCAUGAAUGGACUGAUGAAGCAAAUUUAGAGGUAUUAAACUCUUCAGAAGUCUGGUUCCUGUCACCAUCACUGUUAACAAUUCAGACUCAGUAUGUUUCUCUAGAAUGGAGCAUCUUGCACCAAAGCACUCUGAAUGACUCUGUUUACAUCCCAAACAUGUACCAAUGUGCCUGAUCCAGCUCAUGAAGGGCUCCAUAAUCAGUUGAUGGGCUGGAUCAGGUGAAAUGAAAUAUAUAUUAAGGUAGUAUUUAUUGCUGUACAGUGUUGUGGGUCUCCAUGAGCAGGAUUAAAAAAAACAUGGUCUUAGACAGUUCAUUAGAUCAGAUACUGUUUAUGUUUUUUGUCUGCUUAUCUUUAUAGCAGAGCUACGAUACUACUUUGUUUAAGUUCUGAAAAUUUGUCUUAGACAGCUCACUCUGUUCUUACCUAAAACACACAUGCAUACUAAAUUUACUGAUUUUUGUGGUCAAAUCACAUUGCUCCUCAUUUACAGUAACACUGUAAAUGUAUUUGCACAUAAUUUUAUUCUGUACUUAUUUAUAUUUAAUUAAUUGUCUUUUGGUUUCUGUGUGUUUUUUUUUACAGGACGUCUUUCAAUCAGACAGUGCUAUUCUGUGAGAUCUUCAUAGACAACCUUCAUAACAGACAGUGUUGCCCUGUGAGUUCAUCUUCACAAGCCUCGCUGCUCUGUGUGCCUUCAUAGUUCCCUGAGGGGGUACAGGGCAUUCAUUUAAGCUGACCAGCUUACUUGGGUGCCUGUAGGUUAUACAGCACGUCCUCAAGCUGGUCAGCUUACUUGGUCCUGAGGAAAACUCCUGUCUUCCUCUGUCCACUUGCACCUGCAAGUACAACAAACCACAACGAACCAAAACGGCAAACAAACCAAAAUGAACCACAACGAACCAAAACGCCAAACGAACCACAACGAACCAAAGCAAACUACAAACCAAUUUCUGCAAAAACGACAAACCCAUUACUGAACCACAACAAACUGAUUUAUACAAAAAUGACAAACCCAUUACUGAACCACAACAAACUGAUUUCUACAAAAACGACUACUGAACCCCAACAAACCGAUUUCUACAAAAAAACGACAAACCCAUUACUGAAACACAUCCUUUGAAACACACAAAAAAACAAAUAAAAAACAAGCCUAGAAAAACAAUAAAUCCCUGUUUACUAACACUUCUUCAGUGUUUCCUUGACUUGUUUUAGGUCAAACAGUUGGCUAAAGAAGUGGAUUGUCAACAUCUGCAGUUGAAGACUGUCACCAUGUGCACCAUCUGCAGCUGAAGACCGUCACACACACUAUCGCCCCAUAAUUCACCAUAUACCUGAUUACCAUAUACCUCACCAGCAGUACAUUUCAACUGAUCAUUAUAUUUUUGUCUCAGCUGUAAAGCAUAAAAUCCUCCUUUAAGUCACAGACUACUUGAUUACAAAGUGUGAACACAGUUUAAGUAUUGUGUUAUUAUUCCAUAGAUAAAGAUUUUUGUAUUUACAGUUUGUUAGUAGCCUUGUUCAUAUUCAUAAUACUGCAGUACUACAAAUUGCCUUUGGGUUUGGUUAUUUAGUUUUAACAUAAGCUUUUAACAUUUAUAUUUGAUUUUGUAAUACUGAGUGCAUGCAUUUUGUCUAGUUACUUCUGUACCUUUAUAUUUAAUAAGUUAAUUUAUAAGUAAGAUUGUCUUUUGUAUUGUCAUUAAUAACUGUGUUUAAUAAAUAGGUAUAAUCACAUCUUUCUAAAACUGAUUUUAUUAAGUUUAUCCUUUACGAAGAUAUCAUCUUUUAGGUACUGACUUCACAAGUGGUGAGGACAGCAAACGUAACUUUAUUGCUGUUUCUAUAAGGUUUUAUUGCUGAAGUUGGUCUGAUCUAGUAAAGUGCACUGUUUAUAUUUUUUGGCUUUCAGAUUUGACAUUUUUCCUUAUUGUACUGUUUGUAUAAAUCUAUUAUUGCUUACUUAUUAAAAUUACAAAUCGUAUUUGUAUGUAAACUAUUGGAGUAUUAAACAUAGUCUUGAAUAGUG
Molecule: long non-coding RNA, 2234 nt
Organism: Colossoma macropomum (tambaqui)
Lineage: Eukaryota; Metazoa; Chordata; Actinopteri; Characiformes; Serrasalmidae
Exons: 7
Source: RefSeq, a predicted model, not a curated record